Molecule: transfer RNA, 72 nt
Organism: Camelus ferus (Wild Bactrian camel)
Lineage: Eukaryota; Metazoa; Chordata; Mammalia; Artiodactyla; Camelidae
Rfam family: tRNA
About the family: Transfer RNA (tRNA) molecules are approximately 80 nucleotides in length.
Source: Rfam
GAGGGUAUAGCUCAGUGCUAGAGUGUGUGCUUAGCAUUCACAAGAUUCUGGGUUCAAUCCCCAGAAUCUCCA